Molecule: transfer RNA, 70 nt
Filed under: Euryhaliotrema johni
Lineage: Eukaryota; Metazoa; Platyhelminthes; Monogenea; Dactylogyridea; Ancyrocephalidae
Description: tRNA-Glu
Source: RNAcentral
AUUAACUAGGUGUUUUAUUUGCAUAGUAGCUUUUCGUGCUAAAGGAGGUUACCAAGUUAACCAGUUAACA